GACCUGCAUUGAAUUCCCCACUCCACUAAUGGAUGGUAACCUUUGCCUUUCGGGGUAGUUUAGAAGAACAAUAAACAGACAAGCCACAAUUUGACUAAUGUCAUAGAGAGCCGGUCACAGCAAAAUCUGUAUUAUGCAUAGAGGGCCAGUUCAUCAGGAGGGCAACUCUUCUAAGUCUUCAGUGUGGAAACAAGAUGUGAACUGGACUGACUUCCUGUUUGAUGAAAACACCUGCAGACAUUUUAAGGAUAAUGCAUUGAGGUGCCGUUGUGAAGACUAGUUAUUUUGGAAGUUGGAUGAGGAGCAGUUAGUUGGAAAUUAUGCUGAUCUUACAAAUUGUUACAUCCAGUGAGGAAGUUCACUUUGCGUUAAAGUCAGUUUGUGUGGUAGUUGGAGACGAAAGCUGUGGGUUUGCUUUGGGAUUAAAUGAAAAGUAAAGCACAUCUUUUUAUAGAUGAAUAAAUGAAGUAAGAAAUUACAAUGGAACAAUGUUUUUUUUUGUAAU
This is a non-coding RNA of Penaeus vannamei (Pacific white shrimp), 505 nucleotides long. The record is from RefSeq and is a predicted model, not a curated record. Lineage: Eukaryota; Metazoa; Arthropoda; Malacostraca; Decapoda; Penaeidae.